AACGAACGCUGGCGGCAUGCCUAACACAUGCAAGUCGAACGAGCACUUCGGGUCGAGUGGCGCACGGGUGCGUAACGCGUGGGAAUCUGCCCUUUGGUUCGGAAUACCAGUUGGAAACGACUGCUAAUACCGGCUGAUGACUACGGUCCAAUGAUUUAUCGCCCAGGGAUGAGCCCGCGUCGGAUUAGCUAGUUGGUGAGGUAAAAGCUCACCAAGGCGACGAUCCGUAGCUGGUCUGAGAGGAUGAUCAGCCACACUGGGACUGAGACACGGCCCAGACUCCUACGGGAGGCAGCAGUGGGGAAUAUUGGACAAUGGGCGAAAGCCUGAUCCAGCAAUGCCGCGUGAGUGAUGAAGGCCUUAGGGUUGUAAAGCUCUUUUACCCGGGAUGAUAAUGACAGUACCGGGCGAAUAAGCCCCGGCUAACUCCGUGCCAGCCGCCGCGGUAA
RNAcentral lists this ribosomal RNA (449 nucleotides) under uncultured bacterium. RNAcentral describes it as "partial 16S ribosomal RNA". It matches the Rfam family "Bacterial small subunit ribosomal RNA", at positions 29 to 523 of the family's 1533-position model. The record is from RNAcentral.